CGCACGAAUGGUGUAACGAUCUGGUUACUGUCUCAACAACCCACCCGGCGAAAUUGUGGUACCGGUGAAGAUGCCGGUUACCCGCGACAAGACGGAAAGACCCCAUGGAGCUUUACUGCAGCCUGAUAUUGGAUUUCGGUAUUACAUGUACAGGAUAGGUGGGAGACAGGGAAGCCAAGGCGUCAGCUUUGGUGGAGUCGACCUUGGGAUACCACUCUUGUAGUGCUGGAAUUCUAACUUGCGGCCGUGCAACCGGCCGGAGGACAUUGUCAGGUGGGCAGUUUGACUGGGGCGGUCGCCUCCUAAAGGGUAUCGGAGGCGCUCAAAGGUUGGCUCAGCAUGGACGGAAACCAUGCCAGAGAGUGUAAACGCACAAGCCAGCCUGACUGCGAGACUGACAAGUCGAGCAGGAACGAAAG
This 419-nucleotide ribosomal RNA is filed under the name Bittarella massiliensis (ex Durand et al. 2017). RNAcentral's name for it is "partial 23S ribosomal RNA". It matches the Rfam family "Bacterial large subunit ribosomal RNA", at positions 1989 to 2405 of the family's 2925-position model. Lineage: Bacteria; Bacillati; Bacillota; Clostridia; Eubacteriales; Oscillospiraceae. The record is from RNAcentral.